GUGAGGAAUAUUGGACAAUGGGCGCAAGCCUGAUCCAGCCAUGCCGCGUGCAGGAAGACGGCCCUAUGGGUUGUAAACUGCUUUUAUACGGGAGCAAUAAGGUCUAUGCAUAGAUUGAUGAGAGUACCGUAUGAAUAAGCAUCGGCUAACUCCGUGCCAGCAGCCGCGGUAAUACGGAGGAUGCGAGCGUUAUCCGGAUUUAUUGGGUUUAAAGGGUGCGUAGGCGGCUUUGUAAGUCAGCGGUGAAAUUUUGCAGCUUAACUGUAAAAGCGCCGUUGAUACUGUGAAGCUAGGAUUUGGUUGCUGUGGGCGGAAUGUGUGGUGUAGCGGUGAAAUGCAUAGAGAUCACACAGAAUAUCGAUUGCGAAGGCAGCUCACAAAGCCAAUAUUGACGCUGAGGCACGAAAGUGUGGGGAUCAAACAGGAUUAGAUACCUGGGUAGUCC
RNAcentral lists this ribosomal RNA (445 nucleotides) under uncultured bacterium. RNAcentral describes it as "partial 16S ribosomal RNA". It matches the Rfam family "Bacterial small subunit ribosomal RNA", at positions 354 to 796 of the family's 1533-position model. The record is from RNAcentral.